GCACGCCCGUGUGUGUGUGUCCUUUCGGCGCAUAAUUCAAUAAUUGUGUGAAGGACUUAGACUGACGGAUGUGAAAUGGAAGCUGAUUCCAGAUCAAUGGUGCUUGUGCAAAGAAACCUUUUGGAUCCGAUUUUAGCUUUAAUUUAUUGGGAACUCCAUUGAAAAUGCGACCGAUGAUACUUCCAAUGCCGUAGAAAGUCAUUAAAAGUGUAGCCUUCGUUUCAGGGACUCCUCUUGUGUUGGCGCUGGCAACAAGAUGGUAGAGUGUCCCAACAAACGCUAUACUAAUCAGGAUUAGGCUAAGAACUGUGGCGUGAAGCCCAACAGCACCAAGGAGUAGCAGAGAAGAUCUCCAGCCAUACAGCCCUCUCAGUACAUUGAUUAAAAGAGGUAUAGUUAUCCAUCCCACAGCAGUCCCCGC
Anneissia japonica is the source of this 421-nucleotide long non-coding RNA. RefSeq lists it as uncharacterized. The record is from RefSeq and is a predicted model, not a curated record. NCBI's taxonomy places the organism in Eukaryota, Metazoa, Echinodermata, Crinoidea, Comatulida, Comatulidae. The transcript is spliced from 3 exons.